Molecule: ribosomal RNA, 492 nt
Filed under: uncultured bacterium
Lineage: Bacteria
Description: partial 16S ribosomal RNA
Rfam family: Bacterial small subunit ribosomal RNA
Source: RNAcentral
AGUGAACGCUGGCGGUAGGCCUAACACAUGCAAGUCGAACGGCAGCACAGUAAGAGCUUGCUCUUACGGGUGGCGAGUGGCGGACGGGUGAGGAAUACAUCGGAAUCUACUUUUUCGUGGGGGAUAACGUAGGGAAACUUACGCUAAUACCGCAUACGACCUGCGGGUGAAAGCAGGGGAUCUUCGGACCUUGCGCGAUUGAAUGAGCCGAUGUCGGAUUAGCUAGUUGGCGGGGUAAAGGCCCACCAAGGCGACGAUCCGUAGCUGGUCUGAGAGGAUGAUCAGCCACACUGGAACUGAGACACGGUCCAGACUCCUACGGGAGGCAGCAGUGGGGAAUAUUGGACAAUGGGCGCAAGCCUGAUCCAGCCAUACCGCGUGGGUGAAGAAGGCCUUCGGGUUGUAAAGCCCUUUUGUUGGGAAAGAAAAGCAGCAGGUUAAUACCCCGCUGUCCUGACGGUACCCAAAGAAUAAGCACCGGCUAACUUCGUG